This 71-nucleotide ribosomal RNA is filed under the name Citrobacter amalonaticus. RNAcentral's name for it is "23S rRNA. Bacterial LSU". Lineage: Bacteria; Pseudomonadati; Pseudomonadota; Gammaproteobacteria; Enterobacterales; Enterobacteriaceae. The record is from RNAcentral.
AUAGGCCGGGUGUGUAAGCGCAGCGAUGCGUUGAGCUAACCGGUACUAAUGAACCGUGAGGCUUAACCUUA